UAGUUUUCUCAUUCAGAUGUAGUUUUCUCAUGAUCCUCUCCCUAUAUAUAUAUAUAUAUAUAUAUAUGAUGAUACAAGUAAGAUCAAGCUUAUGGAUAUAACGCACAUUAGUAUGUGUAUUGAUCAUAUUUCUAAAAGGAGAGGGUACAAGUGAAGUGGCUAUAACCACAUUGAAGCAGCUGUGGACAAAGAAGCAGGUUUUGGAGAUGAUGUCAACAACGGGUUAGUUCACAUACAUGUUGAAAUACAUGUGUGUAGAAGAAGUGUUUCUAGAUUGGGGUCUGUUUUCAAAGUGAGAUUAGGUAGGUAGUUCACCGAUUGAUAUAGCGGCCUUGAGGGAGAGGUAGGGGUGUCGAAGUGGACUUAAGGGAGAAGUAGGGGUGUCGAAAUCGGACAUCAGGGAGAGUUAAUUGCAGAUCUGUAAAAGCCUGCUAAUUGAGUUUAUCAGUUAAUGGACUUCAGAAAUCCGCUGGAUGAGACGUUGAGCAUGCUGGAAGUCCGCUGAUGUUGAUGGUGGGCUUCAGUUCUGGACUAUUUCGAUGCAGUCAAUCACAGGGAAAUGAUGUUGAUGGAAGACUCAAGUCCGCUGCUAAUCCAUGUGGACUACGGAAGUCCCCGGAAUAUAUAUAUAUAUAUAUAGCAUUUAUCAUGUAUCUUUAUUUUGAUGGGUUCUAUUGAUAAACAUAAAUCUUGAAUUAUCACAGAUAUCAAGUGAUCUUCCAUGGUCACAAAUAUAUUUGAUUAACUUGAAUAUAUACAUAAUAAAGAUCUA
Molecule: long non-coding RNA, 772 nt
Organism: Helianthus annuus (common sunflower)
Lineage: Eukaryota; Viridiplantae; Streptophyta; Magnoliopsida; Asterales; Asteraceae
Exons: 2
Source: RefSeq, a predicted model, not a curated record